GGUAGGAAAGGCAGAGGGUGACCUCUGUAUAGAAAUAAUCUCUGGGUUGAGGCCUGAAGGAGGCAUAGAAGUUAGCUCAGUGAAGAGAGAGGGGAAGGAAGAAAAUAUGCAAAAAGCUCUUGUGUGAGAAACAGAUUGGCGUCAUCGAGUAGCAGAAAAAAGGGAUGUGUGGCUGCAUGUGAUGUGAUCUAAUUUAUUUUUGAAAAGAUCAUUCUGUCUGUCAUGUGAAUGAUGGGUUGGAGGAUCACAAGCAGAAGUGAGAGAUCUAUGAAAAGAAAAAUUCCAUGGCCCAGGAGGCAGAUGGUGGUGACCUGGCCUGCAGGAUAACAGUGGAGAUAAGACCAGGUCUUUGAAUGAGGUUCUGCCCUCUGAAACAGAAGUCUACAUCCAGGGAUGGCCACUGCCUGAGACACUUUGGGAGACCAAAUAUCUUCACCUGAACAACUGCCCAGAGUUGCAGUUUAUCAGAAAUCAAUACCCACCUUUCUCUGCCUAGCAUUUCUAUUGGGGAAGAGCCAUGCACAUCACAGGAGCAUCUUUUGUUCUAAUGAGGUGAUUCUUCGUGGGCUCCUGGAUGGCCUCAGGAUGGGUCUGGUUGCCAGGGAAGCAACCUCGUGAUUAGAGGAUUGGAACUUUCAUCCCCACCUCCAAGCGUCCGGGGAGAGCAGAAGGGCUGACGACUGAGUUGAUAACCAAUGGCCAACGAUGUUACCCAUGAACGUACCCAUCCCACUAUCAGGCCUGAACUCUCUGAGGCAGAUGGAAUUCUCCUUGAAGGCUCACCAGGAGUAGGAACCAGAAAGCUUGUUCUGCUAAACCUGGAAGAUCAGCACCAUGAGACGGGGAAGGUGGAUGGAGGGGUGAUUUGUCUAAAGUGCCAAAAAAAGGCUUUGUUCUGCUCAUAGUUUGAAAAAAAAAAUGUGUCCAUUGCU
Molecule: long non-coding RNA, 932 nt
Filed under: Homo sapiens (human)
Lineage: Eukaryota; Metazoa; Chordata; Mammalia; Primates; Hominidae
Description: HSALNT0179442
Source: RNAcentral